AGGGUUCAUUCGCAGCGCCAGGCCUCUGUUUUGUUCUUCACCCUACCGGUGUACAGCCAGGGAAAAUAUUGGUACAAUUUCGGUGGGAAUUAAAACAAUAAGCGUGUCGAGCUCCGAAUCAAUAUGGAACCAAGGACGGCGAACGAGAAGACGUACAAUUAAAAACGGUUGAGGAUGGAGAGCGGC
This is a long non-coding RNA of Venturia canescens, 186 nucleotides long. RefSeq lists it as uncharacterized. The transcript is spliced from 3 exons. The record is from RefSeq and is a predicted model, not a curated record. NCBI's taxonomy places the organism in Eukaryota, Metazoa, Arthropoda, Insecta, Hymenoptera, Ichneumonidae.